RNAcentral lists this ribosomal RNA (257 nucleotides) under uncultured bacterium. RNAcentral describes it as "partial 16S ribosomal RNA". It matches the Rfam family "Bacterial small subunit ribosomal RNA", at positions 57 to 305 of the family's 1533-position model. The record is from RNAcentral.
GCAAGUCGAACGGUAACAGGUUUGUUUUUCGGAAUAGACGCUGACGAGUGGCGCACGGGUGAGUAACGCGUACACAAUCUACCUUUCACAGGGGGAUAGCCUCGGGAAACUGAGAAUAAUACCCCAUAGUAUAUAGUUAUCGCAUGAUAAUUAUAUUAAAGCUCCGGCGGUGGAAGAUGAGUGUGCGUUAGAUUAGCUAGUUGGUAGGGUAACGGCCUACCAAGGCGAUGAUCUAUAGGGGGCGUGAGAGCGUGAUC